UGAUGGAAGGUGUUUAGGUCAUGAGG
Molecule: non-coding RNA, 26 nt
Filed under: Homo sapiens (human)
Lineage: Eukaryota; Metazoa; Chordata; Mammalia; Primates; Hominidae
Source: RNAcentral